AGGACGAACGCUGGCGGCGUGCUUAACACAUGCAAGUCGAACGGAAAGGCCCUUCGGGGUACUCGAGUGGCGAACGGGUGAGUAACACGUGGGUGAUCUGCCCUGCACUUCGGGAUAAGCCUGGGAAACUGGGUCUAAUACCGGAUAUACCUCAUGGGAUGCAUGUUUUGUGGGGGAAAGCUUUUGCGGUGUGGGAUGGGCCCGCGGCCUAUCAGCUUGUUGGUGGGGUGAUGGCCUACCAAGGCGUCGACGGGUAGCCGGCCUGAGAGGGUGUCCGGCCACACUGGGACUGAGAUACGGCCCAGACUCCUACGGGAGGCAGCAGUGGGGAAUAUUGCACAAUGGGCGCAAGCCUGAUGCAGCGACGCCGCGUGGGGAUGACGGCUUCGGGUUGUAACCUCUUCAGUAGGACGAAGCGCAAGUGACGGUACCUACAGAAGAAGCACCGGCCAACUACGUGCCAGCAGCCGC
Molecule: ribosomal RNA, 471 nt
Filed under: uncultured bacterium
Lineage: Bacteria
Description: SSU rRNA
Rfam family: Bacterial small subunit ribosomal RNA
Source: RNAcentral